This 253-nucleotide ribosomal RNA is filed under the name uncultured bacterium. Its description in RNAcentral is "partial 16S ribosomal RNA". It matches the Rfam family "Bacterial small subunit ribosomal RNA", at positions 524 to 776 of the family's 1533-position model. The record is from RNAcentral.
UACAGAGGGUGCGAGCGUUGUCCGGAAUCACUGGGCGUAAAGGGCGCGUAGGUGGCGCGACAAGUCAGUGGUGAAAGUUCGACGCUUAACGUCGAAUCGGCCACUGAUACUGUUGGGCUUGAGCACUGUAGAGGCUAAUGGAAUUCCGGGUGUAGCGGUGGAAUGCGUAGAGAUCCGGAAGAACACCGGUGGCGAAGGCGGUUAGCUGGGCAGUUGCUGACACUGAGGCGCGACAGCGUGGGGAGCAAACAGG